AAUAUCAUUCAUAUAGGAGCACAUAUGGAUGUUAUGGGGAUGCCAUGACAAGAAAUGGAGUAAGGGCCAAACCCUUAAUCUUUGUAAAGAAACAUAUUUGCCCAUGCUCAUACAAAGCCGGGAAUAGAAGUCCAUCAAGUCCUCUGAGCUAUGGAAGAGAAACUGUUGAGCAAUAACAGAUUCCUCUGGGCUGUGGUGCCAAAUACAGAUUCAGACAGGUGACUGGAGCAGUCGAUAUCCUGUCUGCAAGCACAUGAAUGGAGAGGCUGCGCCGGAUAAAGCAGGUCCUUUGAGGUCAAGAGAUGGUCUGAGAGAGGAAGAAGAUGCCUUUGCGUGACACUCAGGGAAUGCGCAGAAUGGAAGAGUAAAAGAGAGAACGGACUACAGAUGAGGGUAGACAAAUAUGGAUAGAGGAGGAAUCAAUGUGAGGAAAUGUCAUAUGGUGAGG
RNAcentral lists this long non-coding RNA (448 nucleotides) under Sinocyclocheilus anshuiensis. RNAcentral describes it as "lncRNA (ENSSANG00000035653.1)". The record is from RNAcentral. Lineage: Eukaryota; Metazoa; Chordata; Actinopteri; Cypriniformes; Cyprinidae.